GAUCAUGGCUCAGGAUGAACGCUGGCUACAGGCUUAACACAUGCAAGUCGAGGGGCAGCAUGCCGGUUGCUUGCAACCGGUGAUGGCGACCGGCGCACGGGUGAGUAACGCGUACCCAACCUUCCCGCGACCAAGGGAUAACCUGCCGAAAGGCAGACUAAUACCUUAUGUCCUCCUUUGAAGGCAUCUGACGAGGAGCAAAGAUCCNGUCG
This 212-nucleotide ribosomal RNA is filed under the name uncultured bacterium. RNAcentral describes it as "partial 16S ribosomal RNA". It matches the Rfam family "Bacterial small subunit ribosomal RNA", at positions 15 to 217 of the family's 1533-position model. The record is from RNAcentral.